Molecule: ribosomal RNA, 843 nt
Filed under: Bacillus pumilus
Lineage: Bacteria; Bacillati; Bacillota; Bacilli; Caryophanales; Bacillaceae
Description: bacterial SSU rRNA
Rfam family: Bacterial small subunit ribosomal RNA
Source: RNAcentral
GAGUAACACGUGGGUAACCUGCCUGUAAGACUGGGAUAACUCCGGGAAACCGGAGCUAAUACCGGAUAGUUCCUUGAACCGCAGGUUCAAGGAUGAAAGACGGUUUCGGCUGUCACUUACAGAUGGACCCGCGGCGCAUAGCUAGUUGGUGGGGUAAUGGCUCACCAAGGCGACGAUGCGUAGCCGACCUGAGAGGGUGAUCGGCCACACUGGGACUGAGACACGGCCCAGACUCCUACGGGAGGCAGCAGUAGGGAAUCUUCCGCAAUGGACGAAAGUCUGACGGAGCAACGCCGCGUGAGUGAUGAAGGUUUUCGGAUCGUAAAGCUCUGUUGUUAGGGAAGAACAAGUGCGAGAGUAACUGCUCGCACCUUGACGGUACCUAACCAGAAAGCCACGGCUAACUACGUGCCAGCAGCCGCGGUAAUACGUAGGUGGCAAGCGUUGUCCGGAAUUAUUGGGCGUAAAGGGCUCGCAGGCGGUUUCUUAAGUCUGAUGUGAAAGCCCCCGGCUCAACCGGGGAGGGUCAUUGGAAACUGGGAAACUUGAGUGCAGAAGAGGAGAGUGGAAUUCCACGUGUAGCGGUGAAAUGCGUAGAGAUGUGGAGGAACACCAGUGGCGAAGGCGACUCUCUGGUCUGUAACUGACGCUGAGGAGCGAAAGCGUGGGGAGCGAACAGGAUUAGAUACCCUGGUAGUCCACGCCGUAAACGAUGAGUGCUAAGUGUUUAGGGGGUUUCCGCCCCUUAGUGCUGCAGCUAACGCAUUAAGCACUCCGCCUGGGGGAGUACGGUCGCAAGACUGAAACUCAAAGGAAAUUGACGGGGGCCGCACAAGCGGUGGA